This is a non-coding RNA of Physcomitrium patens, 2724 nucleotides long. The record is from RefSeq and is a predicted model, not a curated record. Lineage: Eukaryota; Viridiplantae; Streptophyta; Bryopsida; Funariales; Funariaceae.
UGUUCCUCCACUUGUUAGAGAUACACGGAUUCUUUUCCUUGAUUUGAAGCACUGAAAAUCCUUUCAUGACAGUGCCCCAGCUGCUGCGUUUUACAACAUUCUUUUGUACAUAUUUCUGUUUUCAGUGUUUCCAUUUUCAUGCUUUUCAGACUGGCUUUGAGAAUAUCUGCAGGUAUUGCAGACCUGGAGAUUGUGCUGUAUGGCUUUAGGAUCGAGGCAGCAACUUUAGGUCAGAGAAAAGGAGAUGAAGCUUCACAGGCAAGGAGAUUAGGUCAAACGUUGAUGAGCUUCUCAUACUUGUAGGCUCCAUUGCUACAAGAUGCUUUGUUACAGGAACCAACGCUUGUCAUCGAACUCCAGGAGUAGAAUCCGGUAUCAAAGAUGCUGCAAAGAAGUAUCGUUUCGAUUCAGCCUUCAGAUUGUUCAAAGUCUUCAUCUAUCCCUGCUUCUCACAUAGAUUAGUGAAAUGGGGACCCCUUUGUGGAUCACCUGCUAUGGCCUUGCGGUAUAUGAGAUCGGUGUUGCUGUUUUUUUAGGUGACUCGCACAGUCGAAGGUAAGCUACAACGUGUUUUGUCCUCGCGUUUCAGCAGCUCACAUGUCUGGUGAGUGUCUGCAGGUAUUCCUUGUUGAAUCUAAGCCAUCCUACUUUUAUGAAGUGGAAAGUAAUCACAGGAACCUCGAUGGGUUUUGGUGAUAUUUGUGGGCAGUUCUGUCUUGUAAAGAAAAAAUCUAGUUUCUUGCUGAGCUUUUCAAGAAUACUUGAUUGGCGUCCGUAGAUCAAGCACCGGCUGGAGUAUAAUUGAUGAUCGGAAAGCACACAUUCGAGCUCCUCCAUCAUCACUUCGAUUUCAUAGCUGAUUUGUAGUUUCGUUUCGAAUAUGACAAGGGGAUUCAUUGUGUAAUCCGUGGAACUGUGCUGUAUAAGCAAAUAAUCGUUACACUCGGGAACUAUCAUUUUCCUGGCCUUGAGAACAGGAUUGCAUCACCCAACAUUCUGGAAGUCAGGGUUUCGGGUUUUUUGUUUGUUUUUGCUGUGACUACCGUGGAUUGAGAACCUCGGCAAGCAGAUAUUCUACAGUGCGUACAAUCUGGUGCAUUUUUUAAAACAUGUACCGACUGUUGUUUCAAUCUGUUCUUUUGAGGUCAUUGCUGUUCCUUCCUACGGUACAGAUGCUGCCUGCAUCACAGUAUCUACGGCUUCUUGAAGGCUGCAGUGUAGCUAAACGGGGGAUUGUGGGGAUCUUCACACGCUGUGUAAGGGUAACGAAGGAACCAUGAUUAUGUAGAGGGCCACAAAAAACUAUCCGCUCCCAAGUGGGCAGUUGAAUCUUUUGUUCCUGAUUCUUUGCAUUUUCGUAUUGGUGAUUCGCAUCGUCGUUAUCCACUACCACCCGCUUUCGUAUGGUUUGUGACCAAAUUUGGGCACACUCCUCUCAAGCACUUCCAGGAAUGCUCUACUUACCCAUCCAUAAUCUCUCCUUCCCGACCAAAGUCUAUUUUCGAUGUGAAGGCAACGACGCUACACUGCUAGAAUCUCUGGCUUUAGUCUUGAGUUGGCAUUUAUGUUGAAUCUCAUGUUCGAUAAUCUUUCGAAGGAUCCGAGGAAUCUCUCUGCAGGUUAUUCCUCACGACUACGCAGAAGGGAUGCCUAUGUCCGUCCUAAGUUCCAUGGCUGGACUCCGCGAGAGACCCUACUUUGCGACUUCGAUGCUUUUAACUUCAGCGACAAGAGUAACCUGCUUCACAUCCAAAUGCGAGUAUGUCGAAUUCCUUGAAGGAUUCCAGCCCGGGAUCAAGUUGCAUCACCGUUUACUAUUUGUUCUGUUUUUAUGAAACAGAUUGAACCAACCUUGACUAGCGAUGAAAACAAUGGUCUAAGAAAUACUUUUUGAUGCAAGAGAUCCUGCCCUUGAUUGCCAAGGCUCUAGUCUUGUAGUCAAACUCAACCUUAAGGUGCCAGCGAAAUCUAUCUUUCUAAGAGCCUAAGCAGACCCUCUUUAAAUUCUUCCUCCACAGCCGCCCUUUCAAACCCGGGGAAGAUCCUCUUACAAACGACUAUUGGCAAUUUUGAAGAUAAUUUCUAGCACUCAAGUGUAGAGAUUAUACACAAGAAUGUCACGAAGAAUUUUCAUUUUCAGAAGACGGACUACCUCCUAGCGAAUGCGGGCUGGCACUGCAGGUUAUGCUUAUGAUGUGUUCGAGAGUUUAUCUUGAAAAACUCAUGCUUAUUCCAAUGCUGUCUGUGUGCAGUUCUCGCAGGAUCUGAAGCAUCGUGUGCAGUAGUAGUGGCCUAUUUGACAUGUGGAGGAAAUUACUGUGUUCAAGGAGCUCAUUAGUAAGAUAAUGAAGUACCCAUGGAGCAGCUACUUUCGGUGGAUCUUUUUGAACACAAAUAACAAUUUUGCAAAUGUUAUGGAUUAUCCAGAGGCUUCUAUGGAGUACAUCAUCACUCUCUCUCGGAGAGUAUUAACACAGCCCUUGUAAGAUGCCUAGUUCUCGUCUAUGAGCUUCUAUGUUGAUUUAUUUGAGAAACCAGAGUAGAUUCAAAACAACCGUCAUGAAGGCGAUCAUUAGACGAACAAGCAAGCGAUCCCCUGGUGCGACCGAGAUAAUUCCGAACUUCAGUUUCAAUUAGUCUUCGUUUGUUUUGGAUUACAUGAAUCUCCAAGUGUACUUUUCUGAUUACAAAUUAGUAAUCAUAAGUAUGUGUAUUUCUCUCUCU